AUUGAACGCUGGCGGCAGGCCUAACACAUGCAAGUCGAGCGGAUGAAGGGAGCUUGCUCCUGGAUUCAGCGGCGGACGGGUGAGUAAUGCCUAUGAAUCUGCCUGGUAGUGGGGGAUAACGUUCGGAAACGGGCGCUAAUACCGCAUACGUCCUGAGGGAGAAAGUGGGGGAUCUUCGGACCUCACGCUAUCAGAUAAGCCUAGGUCGGAUUAGCUAGUUGGUGGGGUAAAGGCCUACCAAGGCGACGAUCCGUAACUGGUCUGAGAGGAUGAUCAGUCACACUGGAACUGAGACACGGUCCAGACUCCUACGGGAGGCAGCAGUGGGGAAUAUUGGACAAUGGGCGAAAGCCUGAUCCAGCCAUGCCGCGUGUGUGAAGAAGGUCUUCGGAUUGUAAAGCACUUUAAGUUGGGAGGAAGGGCAGUAAGUUAAUACCUUGCUGUUUUGACGUUACCAACAGAAUAAGCACCGGCUAACUUCGUG
Molecule: ribosomal RNA, 484 nt
Filed under: uncultured bacterium
Lineage: Bacteria
Description: partial 16S ribosomal RNA
Rfam family: Bacterial small subunit ribosomal RNA
Source: RNAcentral